Molecule: RNA transcript, 2321 nt
Organism: Gossypium raimondii (Peruvian cotton)
Lineage: Eukaryota; Viridiplantae; Streptophyta; Magnoliopsida; Malvales; Malvaceae
Gene name: putative zinc finger protein CONSTANS-LIKE 11
Exons: 8
Source: RefSeq, a predicted model, not a curated record
GUCCGACCAAAACGGAUGACCGCAAUAAUAUCACAUGUCCACCUCAUCCUAGAGUAUCCCAUCCACAAAGCUAACAUCGCACCACGUGGCACGCACCCAUCAAACCUCGGACAAACGUGAAUAAAUAAACCAGUUUUUGCUCACUGAAAAAAAAAAACUUCCAGUUACCAACGCUGACAGCUCUUCACUGUUCCCCCUAUUAUGUAUUUUUAGCUCAAAGAAAUGUUUGCUUUUUUGUUAUCAAUGUUGAUGCGUAUUUGCUUCGGUUAAUGGAUUAUGUGUUCUUCGACAUUGGCUGAUUUCAGAAGCCGGGAUUGGGUUCUUCUCAUUGUAUAGGGUAGUUUUUGUUAGGAUUGAGGAAUCAAUAGAGCCGAAUUACCGCCCAACUGCAGUGGUUUACUGUAAAGUUAGGAGGAAUAACGGGAUGGAACCUGUAUGCGAUUUUUGUCGAGGGGAAAGAGCAGUGGUUUACUGUAAAUCGGAUUCGGCUCGGCUUUGCUUGAGCUGUGAUGGGUGCGUUCACUCUGCAAAUUUGUUGUCAUGUAGACACGUUCGUUCACUUUUGUGUGAGAAAUGCAAUUCUCAAUCAGCAGUUGUUAGGUGUUUGGAUGAGAAAUUGUCUCUUUGUCAGGAUUGUGAUGGUAAUGGCAAUGGUUGCUCGAGUUUGGGGCAUUGGCGAGAGGCCCUCAAUUCUUAUACGGAUUGUCCUUCUUUGGCCGAGUUUAGAAGAAUCUGGUCUUCGGUUCUUGGUGCUUCGUCUCCUGCUGUUUUUGAUGUUGAUUGGCCAGUCGGUGCUUCAACUGCUAACGACAAUUGUUUCACUAACUGUUUGAAUCAAAUAGAUCUAGGGGGCUCAUUUGAACUGGCUGGUACAAAGUUAAAUGAACUAGAUUCGUGUCCUAAGCUAAAGCCUUGUAUGGUUUCAUCUUCUCUGAUAUCACCAAAUGCAAAUUACAUCCCUUACAGUAAAGAUGGAGAACCUGUUUUCUCAGAGGAGCCGAAUAUGCCAAAGGGUUUUUCUGACCUCAGAGAUUUCAAAGUUCCUGAUGGUGAUGACCUUUGUGAAGGCCUGAACAUCAAUGAUGUUCAAUUCAGCUUCAAAACUGCCAAUGAGAUAUUUGGCGGUUCACAAGGCCAAACUAGGUACCAGUUUGAGAAGGUUGGGACAGACGGCCUAAUUAUGGACAAAACUUUACCGGUAAUCAAAUCUAAUGGUCCUAGCAAGAACAUGUUAGAGGCAUUACCAUCGGGACAAAAGGAGUGCCUGUCUUUUCCAUCCUCUCAAGUCGGUUGCUCAGCUAGUAUCAUGGCUACCAUGAUUGGCACUUCUAAUUGCAUGCUUAUGAAUCCGAGUUGUAACCAAAACAUCAAUCUAGGAUAUCCUGUUGGCCAAGUUCCUUCAAACUUAGCUCCUUCACCAUCCAACAUAACAGUGAAAAAUAGCCCUGCUGAUUUUCAAGACUGUGGAUUGCCACCAGCUUUUCUAACCGGUGACUCCCAUUUCCAAAAUUUGGAAGCUAGUUGCCCACAAGCUAGGGAUAAAGCGAAGAUAAGAUACAAUGAAAAAAAGAAAACACGAAUAUUUGGUAAGCAAAUAAGAUAUGCCUCCCGUAAGGCUAGGGCUGACACUAGGAAACGUGUGAAAGGCAGAUUUGUGAAAGCAGGCGAAGAAUAUGAUUAUGAUCCUCUCGUUGCACGGAACUUCUAAGGAGAAUUAUGGAAUCAUGCCCCUGAUCAUGAAGGGUGUCAUUUCCUUGUACACACACUCGACUGAAGCCUUCUCAAUUGUACUUACUAUUGCCGAUUUACUUGGUCUUUCUUGAUGAUGGAGAAUUGGCAGUAAACCUCCCUUAGUGUAUGAAGGAAAAAUUAUGAAGGUACACACAUCAAGAAGUCCCAGCUGGCUUUGAAGAACGUUAAAGUAAAAAACCAUUGUUGCAGAUGAAAUGAACUAUGAAGAAUGGUAAAAGGGAAAUUGCUUGAAGUAGCAGAGUCAGUAGCAGAAGCAAGUUGUUCCUCUCUUUAAGGCCUCUGAAGGAGGGAAAAAGUUUUUUUAAAAAAGGGAAGAGGAUAGUGUACCAUGUAUAUGCAGGAAGAAGAUAAUGUCGCAAUAUAAAACACUGUGAAGUUGUGAGGAAAAAAUAAAAUUAAAUGUAACCUCCCCAAAUUUUGUACUUUGAAUCAGUACAUAUGCUAUACAAUUACUUUUUUUUUUUUUUUUUUGCUUUUAACCUCCCCUUCCCAAUUGUCCAAUUCUUGUCUUAGAAUAGAAAAGGUCUGAUGAAGGAUUUUCUAGCUCCUCAACACAUCUGGUAUUGUUU